AAAGUCUAACCUGCCCAAUGAGUAAUUAAAUGGCUGCGGUAUAAUGACCGUACAAAGGUAGCAUAAUAAUUAGUUUUUUAAUUGAAAGCUGGUAUGAAUGGUUGAACGAGAAAAAAUCUGUCUCAAUUUAAUUUUAAUUAGAAUUUUAUUUUUAAGUUAAAAAGCUUAAAUAAAUUUAAAAGACAAGAAGACCCUAUAGAGUUUUAUAUUAAAGAUUAUUUGAAAUUUUUAGAAAUUUUUUAUUUUAAAUUGUAAUUUAAUAUUUAAUUGGGGUGAUUAAAAAAUUUAAUAAACUUUUUUAUUUUGAAAAUCAUUAAUGAAUGUUUAAAUGAUCCA
This 336-nucleotide ribosomal RNA is filed under the name Aliuscanthoniola similaris. Its description in RNAcentral is "partial 16S ribosomal RNA". Lineage: Eukaryota; Metazoa; Arthropoda; Insecta; Coleoptera; Scarabaeidae. The record is from RNAcentral.